RNAcentral lists this long non-coding RNA (248 nucleotides) under Vigna radiata. RNAcentral's name for it is "long non-coding RNA (VRAD_LNC017069)". Lineage: Eukaryota; Viridiplantae; Streptophyta; Magnoliopsida; Fabales; Fabaceae. The record is from RNAcentral.
GGAAAUAGAGGAGUAAUGGGGAACAAAUGAAAAUUCAAUAAAACACACCCAAAACCUCUAAUUUCAAUCCACUUCUUGACUCCACCGUUCAUUUUUUUUUCUUUCCUUGUCUUGUCUCUUUUUCUUCUCUUUUUUUUAGAACAUAAACUGUAAGAGGCAAGAUUCAAAACAUAUUUUAAACAACAAGCAAUAGAGGAACCAAGAAAACCAACUAUAGCCAAUUCAUAAGAAUGUAAUGAAGACCACAC